Molecule: long non-coding RNA, 5477 nt
Filed under: Solanum tuberosum (potato)
Lineage: Eukaryota; Viridiplantae; Streptophyta; Magnoliopsida; Solanales; Solanaceae
Description: long non-coding RNA (STUB_LNC008760)
Source: RNAcentral
UUUAAAUAUAUAAUUCAUUUUAUAAGAUAUAAAGAAUCUACGCUCAACUUUACACUAAAAAAUUAAUAAUUUAACUCUCGUAAUUUGAAUCUUGCCACGUGCAGAAGACAAUAAUUAUUUUACUUAUACAAUCAUUAUGCCAUGUAUUUUAAUCUUAUUUAAGAAAAGAUUUUUAAAAAAAAUAGGAAAAACUUUAUGUAUUUCCAUACUUAAUUAUCAACUUAAUCCCACUAUACCAUGAACAUAUGGUAUGUGGAAUAAUAUAUACUAGCAACAUCAAAGGGAAAUAAUAAUAAUAAUUAUAGACGUACAUUUAAUCCCUUACACAUUGGUUGGUACCAUAGUUGUAGUUUGGCUUCUCCCCCACCCACAAUUGCACAGCUGCCCUCCCCGUGAAAUCACCAGUUCCCUUGGCAAGGUUCUCCCCUGCACCGGAAUGAAUCAAGUUACAAUCACCAGUUCUUGAAUUAAAGUAAACUAGUAUAUAUACUCGCGGAUAAUAUUAAAAUAUUAUUUUUAAGUGUAUUAGAAUGUGUGACUUGCAAGUUUGAGUCAGUCAAAAUUACAGUGUUUUUUUGUGUGAUUAAUUAACUUAGUUAGAAAAUCAAAUAUAAUUAUUUCACUCGUACUUCAACUUAUAAUAACUAAACGAAGUCAAUCGGAACUCAUCAUAGCUUUCUGAGGGAUCGACUCAAGACUCAUAAUCAAGAUUAUAUUGAUUAUGCUCACUUAGUUUUUGAAUAUGUAAAUUUCAUAAUUUAAAAAAGGAAAUAAAGAAUCUAUGUCGUGUUAGUGUUUUGCCCUAAUUAAAAAAAAAUAAAGGUCCUUUAAAUUUUUCAAAAGUGAACACCUUUGGUUUUGAGAAGAUAUUUAUCAAACUUUGAUUGUUAAAUUUAAUCGAAUUUGUAUAAAAUGUUAAAUUUUAAACACUGUGGAAUUUUAUUUCACAUGUGAAGAAAAUUCAAAGGAGAUUAAUGUUGCAUUGCAUGUCGUGUUAUUCAGGAAAUACUCUAUGCUUUAAAGAAUAGUCAUACUUUAAUCUAGGACAUUUCUUCACCCCAUAUUAUUCAGAUAAGAUUAAACAAGACUUAGUAAGUGUUUUUGGGUGGAAUAUUCACAAUAGGUAAAAUAUGCGCUCUCAAUAAUUACAUGCAAGUCUACGGAGCAUAGAAAGACAAGAUGCUUAUAUCGUACUUGCUAAAUGAAUCUAAUUCUAAUACAAUUUUAUAUCUCAAUUAAAUUGGACUCGCACAUGUUCUACAGUCUCGUGAAUCAUGUUGAAGCAACUAAAGCAAGGACUUUAGGCUCCAAAAUUUUAGGGUUCCGAUUUUUAUUUUUUAUUUUCUCAUACAAUGUCUAGAAUCUAUGUUGAAGUCACGAUUAAUUCAAUUUCGUGUCACAUAAGGUUCUUUAAAGGAAGAAGCUCUCUAGCAAUAUUUGUUUUCCUUUUGAGAUUUGGACUCAAUAUCUCUGAUCAAGAGAGGAAGCGAUUCAGUUUUAUUUAGCUAUAAAAUAUUUUAUGAAAAUUUGAUUUUAAACCAUCGAUCUUAUUGAGCCACCCUGCGUGAAUGUAUUGGAAGAAAAUUAUUCUAUGAGAGAGAGAAGACUAAGUAUUUAUUAGUCAUUGAAAGCAAUUUGGAUAUAAUGAAAACAAAAAAAUAAAGAAAGUGAUGGACACUUAAACCAGAACAAAUUUUUGGUCCUUUGUGUGGAAAUUAACUGCUUCACAUCCUUGCAGCUUCGAAUGAGAUUUUUUUUAAAAAAAUUUGAAAGUGUUGAAGCUGAAUUUAUGAAUAAAUAGUUAUAUGUUUAGAUAAGUUUUAAAUGGAGCAUAAAUAGUUUGAUUUGCUUAAUUAUAUAUGCACACAUUAAGUAAUUUCUAUCGUAUAUAUUUUGUAUAUUUCUUUUAUAUAUAAAAUAUAAUUUUUUGGUGAAAAGUGUUCAACGAUAGUCGCUAUAGUGUGUGGAAUUCAUGUUCCAUCACAUAAUUGGAGAGUUUUUUCUUGACUUUCUUUUUAUUAUUACUAUUAUUUAUGGAUUUUUAUAUAGUUUAAUUCACUGAUUUUGAUUCGGAGAAUGACAAUAUACUAGAGUUUUAAUUUACCCUUUGUUUGGUUAUAAUAUAUUAUAUUUAUUUGACUGCGUUUGCAUUAUAGUAUAAAUUGUUUGGAAUUACUUGUUUGUUUUGGGAAAGACUUGCAAGUUUGAGUCGGUCAAAAUUACACUGUGAUUAAUCAACUUAAUUAGAAAAUCAAAUAUAAUUUUAUACUUCACUCGUAUUCCACUUAAACUAACUAAAUUAAGUUAAACGGAACUCACCAUAGCUUUUCUGUGGUAUUGAGUUGUAUAUAAAUAUACUCUGAUGGUAUCAAAGAUAACUGAACAGUGUCUUCAUUGAAAGACUGCUUCUUCCUCCUUGAUAUUAUCAAAGUAUAAUAUACUUUGGUGGUAUUAAUGAGUAACCGAAUAGUGUUUUCAUUAAGGUUUGUUUCAGUCCUUCGAUGAGAAUACUCAAUCAUCCAUGAUACCAUUACGGUAUAUCUACAUACUGUCGUGGUAUCAUUUAGGUAUGCUUGAAUUCUUCAAUAUUUUAAUUUUAAAAAAUAUAAAAAUAUAUUUCCUACUAAUUUAGAGUUUAAUAAAUAAGAUUGUGAAUUUAAUAAUUUCUCUUAAUUAUUUCUUAAAAAAAGAGUUAAAUCCUAUAUCUCAUACUGAUAUCAUACGCGAUAUAAAAAAGGAGAAAGUGGGGUAAGCAUGUAAAUAUUUUGAGGCAUGGGUCCAUUUAGGGUAAAUAGUUUGGAUAAAGUCCAAUUUAGAUAAAUAGUUUCAUAAUUGGGUCUAUCUUACAUAGUUUUUUCUAUUAAUUACGCUACUUAAUUUUUAAAUAUAUAAAUUUCAUAAUUUUAAAUAAGUAAAGAACCUAUGCCCAACUUCACACUCGUACUUGGAAUUUUUCAAUAUUAAUUUGCUCAUACAAUUAUUCUACUAAUUUAUAUAGAACCAAUCCUUUUCUGAGAUUAAGUAGCACAAAUAUCGUAUUUUAAUCUUAGUUAAUGAAAGACAAAUUUUAAAAAGGUCAAAUAGGAAUAACAACUUUAUGUAUUCAUGUUUAGUGGAAACGAGAAGAUGCAAUACUUAGUUAUCAACGUAAGCCACUAUACCAUGAACAUAUGGUACGUGGAAUUAUUCAUACUAGCAACAUCAAAGGGUAAUAAUAAUAAUAAUUAUAGAGGUACAUUUAAUCCCUUACACAUCAUAAGUAAACACAUUUUAGUAAGGACGUUGUCCGACCCAGUUUCCAACAGGAUCAUAGUUGCAUGAAAUGAACCACCAUCCGUUGUUGCAACGAGCCCGACCACAACCUAGUCGAACUGAGUUGCGCCAGACUACUUGAGUAUAGUGUCCGCACACUUGUCCGCUUGCACAUUGGUUGGUACCAUAGUUGUAGUUUGGCUUCUCCCCCACCCACAAUUGCACAGCUGCCCUCCCCGUGAAAUCACCAGUUCCCUUGGCAAGGUUCUCCCCUGCACCGGAAUGAAUCAAGUUACAAUCACCAGUUCUUGAAUUGGCAUAAUUUUGUGCUCGGGAUGCCAAACCGGCAUCCCAAGACAUUGGCCCGACCCCGACUUGGGCACGGGCAUCGUUGUGAACCGCAAGAUAGUCUUGGGGUGAAUUUUGGGCAUCACAAGAGUGAAAUAUGGCUAAUACCAUGAGACAAGUGAGUAACAAUGAGAUGUUAAACAACCCCAUUUUGCUUUAGGUCUAGUGGAAAGAAAAUAAAUCUAAGUUAUUGUGAUUAUAAAUGUGAGAUAAGUAGUGUAUUUAUAAGUAAAAUUAAUUGUGGAAUUUUGUUUAGCAUGUGUGAAGAAAAUUCAAAGGAAAUUAGUAGAGGAAAUGAUAAAAAUGGUCUCUUAUCUUUGAUAGUAAGUUCAAAAUAGUCUCGUGUGUAUUUAGUUGAGCCAUUUUGGUCCUUCAAUUGUUUAGAAGUAAUUACUUUCGGUCCUGAUGGUAUCAAAGAUAAGUGAACAGUGUCUUCAUUGAAGGACUGCUUCUUCCUCCUUGAUAUUAUCAAAGGAUAAUAUACUUUGGUGGUAUUAAUGAGUAACUGAAUAGUGUUUUCAUUAAGAUUUGUUUCAGUCCUUCGAUGAGAAUACUCAAUCAUCCAUGAUAUCAUUACGGUAUUUCUACAUACUGUCGUGAUAUCAUUGAGGUAUGUUUGAAUUCUUCAAUAUUUUAAUUUUAAAAAAUAUAUUUCCUACUAAUUUAGAGUUUAAUAAAUAAGAUUGUGAAUUUAAUAAUUUUCUCAUAACUAUUUCUUAAAAAAAGAGUUAAAUCCUAUAUCUCAUACUAUAUCAUGUGCAAUAUAAAAAAGGAGAAAGUGGGGUAAGCAGGUAAAUAUUUUGAGGUAUAGGUCCAUUUAGGGUAAAUAGUUUGGAUAGAGUCCAAUUUAGAUAAAUAGUUUCAUAAUUGGGUCUAUCUUACAUAGUUUUUUCUAUUAAUUACGCUACUUAAUUUUUAAAUAUAUAAAUUUCAUAAUUUUAAAUAAGUAAAGAACCUAUGCCCAACUUCACACUAAGAAUUUAGUACUUUGACCCUCGUACUUGGAAUUUUUCAAUAUUAAUUUGCUCAUACAAUUAUUCAACUAAUUUAUAUAGAACCAAUCCUUUUCUGAGUUUAAGUAGCACAAAUAUCGUAUUUUAAUCUUAGUUAAUGAAAGACAAAUUUUAAAAAGGUCAAAUAGGAAUAACAACUUUAUGUAUUCAUGUUUAGUGGAAACAAGAAGAUGCAAUACUUAGUUAUCAACGUAAGCCACUAUACCAUGAACAUAUGGUACGUGGAAUUAUUCAUACUAGCAACAUCAAAGGGUAAUAAUAAUAAUAAUUAUAGAGGUACAUUUAAUCCCUUACACAUCAUAAGUAAACACAUUUUAGUAAGGACGUUGUCCGACCCAGUUUCCAACAGGAUCAUAGUUGCAUGAAAUGAACCACCAUCCGUUGUUGCAACGAGCCCGACCACAACCUAGUCGAACUGAGUUGCGCCAGACUACUUGAGUAUAGUGUCCGCACACUUGUCCGCUUGCACAUUGGUUGGUACCAUAGUUGUAGUUUGGCUUCUCCCCCACCCACAAUUGCACAGCUGCCCUCCCCGUGAAAUCACCAGUUCCCUUGGCAAGGUUCUCCCCUGCACCGGAAUGAAUCAAGUUACAAUCACCAGUUCUUGAAUUGGCAUAAUUUUGUGCUCGGGAUGCCAAACCGGCAUCCCAAGACAUUGGCCCGACCCCGACUUGGGCACGGGCAUCGUUGUGAACCGCAAGAUAGUCUUGGGGUGAAUUUUGGGCAUCACAAGAGUGAAAUAUGGCUAAUACCAUGAGACAAGUGAGUAACAAUGAGAUGUUAAACAACCCCAUUUUGCUUUAGGUCUAGUGGAAAGAAAAUAAAUCUAAGUUAUUGUGAUUAUAAAUGUGAGAUAAGUAGUGU